Molecule: ribosomal RNA, 1569 nt
Filed under: groundwater metagenome
Description: bacterial SSU rRNA
Rfam family: Bacterial small subunit ribosomal RNA
Source: RNAcentral
AGAGUUUGAUCCUGGCUCAGAGCGAACGCUGGCGGCGUGGUUUAGGCAUGCAAGUCGAGCGAAUUAUUUGGACUGAAGUUCCUUGAAGCCGCAAGGUGGAUGGGGAUGGAUGACUGAAUGAUUAGCGGCAAACGGGUGAGUAACGCGUGGGUAAUCUGCCCUCGAGUGGGGGAUAACAACCCGAAAGGGUUGCUAAUACCGCAUAAGCCCACAGCCUCGUAAGAGGUGGUGGGAGAAGCCGGGGACCGUAAGGCCUGGCGCUUGAGGAUGAGCCCGCGUUCCAUCAGCUAGUUGGUAGGGUAAUGGCCUACCAAGGCUAUGACGGAUAGCUGGCCUGAGAGGGUGGUCAGCCACACUGGGACUGAGACACUGCCCAGACUCCUACGGGAGGCUGCAGUCGAGGAUAUUUUCCAAUGGGCGAAAGCCUGAGAAUGCGACGCCGCGUGCGGGAUGAAGGCCUUCGGGUCGUAAACCGCUGUCGGGCGGGAAGAAUACCUGUCUUGUGAACAACAGGAUCGGUUGACGGUACCGCCGAAGGAAGCCACGGCCAACUCCGUGCCAGCAGCCGCGGUAAUACGGAGGUGGCGAGCGUUGCUCGGAUUCAUUGGGUGUAAAGGGUCGGUAGGCGGGCUGGUAAGUGCCCGGUGAAAUUCCACGGCUCAACCGUGGAACGUCCGGGUAGACUGCCGGUCUUGAGGACUGGAGGGGCAGGCGGAAUUCCCGGUGUAAGGGUGAAAUCUGUAGAUAUCGGGAGGAACACCAGUGGCGAAGGCGGCCUGCUGGACAGUCCCUGACGCUGAGCGACGAAAGCGUGGGGAGCAAACAGGAUUAGAUACCCUGGUAGUCCACGCUGUAAACUUUGAGGACUAGGUGCCGGUCCGGUUCGGAUCGGUGCCGCAGGUAACCCAUUAAGUCCUCCACCUGGGGAGUACGUCCGCAAGGAUGAAACUCAAAGGAAUUGACGGGGGCCCGCACAGGCGGUGGAAGAUGUGGUUCAAUUCGAUGCUACGCGAAGAACCUUACCUAGUCUUGACAUGCUAGAAGUACUGAACUGAAAGGGGAUGGACUCGUCAAGUCGAGAGCUAGCACAGGUGGUGCAUGGCUGUCGUCAGCUCGUGCUGUGAAGUGUUGGGUUAAGUCCCGCAACGAGCGCAACCCACGUCCGCUGUUGCCACUGGUGGCGUAAGCUGCCAAGCACUCAGCAGAGACCGCCGGCGAUGAGCUGGAGGAAGGUGUGGAUGACGUCAAGUCAGUACGCUCCUUAUGCCUAGGGCUACACACGUGUUACAAUGGCGCGUACAGAGGGGUAUGCCAACCCGCGAGGGGGAGCUAAUCCCAGAAAGCGCGCCCCAGUUCAGAUUGGAGGCUGCAACUCGCCUCCAUGAAGACGGAAUCGCUAGUAACGGCGGAUCAGCUACGCCGCCGUGAAUACGUUCCCGGGCCUUGUACACACCGCCCGUCAAGCGAUGGAAGCCGAGGGCACCCGAAGGCGGUAGCUCAACCCGUAAGGGAGGGCGCCGACGAAGGUGAAAUCGGUAACUGGCGCUAAGUCGUAACAAGGCAGCCGUA